Molecule: ribosomal RNA, 486 nt
Filed under: uncultured bacterium
Lineage: Bacteria
Description: partial 16S ribosomal RNA
Rfam family: Bacterial small subunit ribosomal RNA
Source: RNAcentral
GAUGAACGCUGGCGGCGUGCCUAAUACAUGCAAGUCGAACGAUGGAAAUCUAGCUUGCUUGAUUGAAGGAGUGGCGAACGGGUGAGUAAUACAUAAGCAACCUACCCACGAAGACUGGGAUAAUCUCUGGAAACGGGGACUAAUACCGGAUAGGUAAUCGGAAGGCAUCUUCUGAUUAUUAAAGGAUAAAAACACUGGUGGAUGGGCUUAUGGCGCAUUAGUUAGGUGGUGAGGUAACGGUCCACCAAGACGAUGAUGCGGAGCCGGACGGAGCGGGUGAACGGCCAGAAUUGGACUGAGACACGGCCCACAACCCGACGGGAGGGUGGAGUAGGGAAUGUUCGGCAAUGGGGGAAACCCUGACCGAGCAACGCCGCGUGAGUGAUGACUGCCUUCGUGUUGUAAAGCUAUGUUGUAAGAGAAGAACUGUAGAUAGAGAAGAUCUAAAUGACGGUACCUUACCAGAAAGCCACGGCUAACUACGUG